Molecule: non-coding RNA, 67 nt
Submitted as: unclassified sequences
Source: Rfam
GGGGACCUUCGGGGCCCUAAACACCAGCGGUCUUUUGGGACUGCAUGAAGCAAACGGAAGACAGAAA